This is a long non-coding RNA of Cololabis saira (Pacific saury), 1109 nucleotides long. RefSeq lists it as uncharacterized. The record is from RefSeq and is a predicted model, not a curated record. Lineage: Eukaryota; Metazoa; Chordata; Actinopteri; Beloniformes; Belonidae. The transcript has 4 exons.
UUAAUCUGUAAUUAUAUUUAUUUUGCACACACCCAAUUUUAAUAUUAUUUGUGAGAGAAAGUAGCUCUCAUGGUAAUUCCACCCUAUUCUCGCGAGAGUUAGAGCGAGAGCGAGAGAAUGCGCCCAGACAUGCAGCAAUGACGAGCAGAUGCGAAAUAUAGAAGAAAGUCACAACGGUUGUUAACUCACUUAGGAGCAAAGAAAAACUCUGGAAACUAUACCUACUGGAAGCGGAGAAGUGUUUGAAGACCUGUGAGUUGUUUUCGGCAGAGACUGUGUUUCAGAAAAAAAGAUUCUCCACAAACAUCUGCACACGUCGGUAACAUCGUCAGGAUGGAGACCAUGGAGCAGUUUGACGAGGAGGAAGUGCAUCUCAUUGACAACAGUAACUUUGAACGCAUGAAGGAGGUAUGAGGUUCAACAAGGCAGCAACAGAAGACCUCAUCAAGCAAACCAGCGCUGGCCAUCUGAAGCAUGCACCACAGAGACGUCAGCAGUGAGGCGAGGCACCUGGUCGGUGAUGUGGCAGCCUUAGUUUCCUUUUUUAUCCUGUUGUUUCGUUUUGCAUCCUACAACACACAUCUCCACUCUCCACUCACACAACAUGCACCUCAUGCUUACUUUACUGACAUCCACAUCCCAUGUUUUGUAAUCUUUUGUUGGACAUAUUUAAGUUGUCGUUUCUUAUUAAUAAACGUAUUUUGUUAUUCCUUAUCAUGGUGUGUCUCCCUCCUUGUCAUGGCUGUAAGAGCCAGGCUGUCACAGUUACUAUUUGAAUUUUACUUUGUAUUGCAUGCUCUGUUUUAAAAAUGGAAAAAAAAUGUUCCUAUUUUAUUGCUCUCUAAAAACCAGUGAAUUUUGAUUAUACUGAAUUGUGAUUUCUUUUGAAAAUGCAGUCAAAAUAAUUGUCAUGAAAUGCUAUUUUGUAUUGUUUGCAUACAUGGAGCAUCAAGGAACUUCAGUCUGGUAUGGGUGAGAUUGUCGCAUUUGCCUGAAGAUCGGCUUUGUUUACUGUUCAAGUCUUACUUUUCAAGAACUCUCUUAAAAUGCCACCAUUGCUGGGUGUUAAACUGUGUUUAACUCUUUGCUUUGAAAAUCGUCAAUCUUAA